CUAUGCGCCUUGCCAGCCCGCUCAGUCAGAGUUUGAUCCUGGCUCAGGACGAACGCUGGCGGCGUGCUUAACACAUGCAAGUCGAGCGAGGUCCAACCUGUCGCAAGACAGGGGAAGGCCUAGCGGCGAACGGGUGCGUAACACGUGAGCAACCUGCCCCGAAGACCGGGAUAACACCGGGAAACCGGUGCUAAUACCGGAUGCCCUCACCGGAUCGCAUGGUCUGGUGAGGAAAUGGAUUCCGCUUCGGGAGGGGCUCGCGGCCUAUCAGCUUGUUGGUGGGUAACGCCACCAAGGCUACGACGGGUAGCUGGUCUGAGAGGACGGCCAGCCACACUGGGACUGAGACACGGCCCAG
Molecule: ribosomal RNA, 358 nt
Filed under: uncultured bacterium
Lineage: Bacteria
Description: bacterial SSU rRNA
Rfam family: Bacterial small subunit ribosomal RNA
Source: RNAcentral